Molecule: ribosomal RNA, 497 nt
Filed under: uncultured bacterium
Lineage: Bacteria
Description: partial 16S ribosomal RNA
Rfam family: Bacterial small subunit ribosomal RNA
Source: RNAcentral
GAUGAACGCUGGCGGCGUGCCUAAUACAUGCAAGUCGAGCGAACAGACGAGGAGCUUGCUCCUCUGACGUUAGCGGCGGACGGGUGAGUAACACGUGGAUAACCUACCUAUAAGACUGGGAUAACUUCGGGAAACCGGAGCUAAUACCGGAUAAUAUAUUGAACCGCAUGGUUCAAUAGUGAAAGACGGAUUUGCUGUCACUUAUAGAUGGAUCCGCGCCGCAUUAGCUAGUUGGUAAGGUAACGGCUUACCAAGGAAACGAUGCGUAGCCGACCUGAGAGGAUGAUAGGCCACACUGGAACUAAGACGCGGUCCAGACUCCUACGGGAGGCAGCAGAAGGGAAUCUUCCGCAAUGGGCGAAAGCCUGACGGAGCAACGCCGCGUGAGUGAUGACGGUCUUCGGAUCGUAAAAAUCUGUUAUUAGGGAAGAACAAAUGUGUAAGUAACUAUGCACGUCUUGACGGUACCUAAUCAGAAAGCCACGGCUAACUACGUG